RNAcentral lists this ribosomal RNA (252 nucleotides) under uncultured bacterium. RNAcentral describes it as "partial 16S ribosomal RNA". It matches the Rfam family "Bacterial small subunit ribosomal RNA", at positions 524 to 776 of the family's 1533-position model. The record is from RNAcentral.
UACGAAGGGGGCUAGCGUUGCUCGGAAUCACUGGGCGUAAAGCGCACGUAGGCGGACUCUUAAGUCAGGGGUGAAAUCCUGGAGCUCAACUCCAAACUGCCUUUGAUACUGGGAGCCUUGAGUUCGAGAGAGGUGAGUGGAACUGCGAGUGUAGAGGUGAAAUUCGUAGAUAUUCGCAAGAACACCAGUGGCGAAGGCGGCUCACUGGCUCGAUACUGACGCUGAGGUGCGAAAGCGUGGGGAGCAAACAGG